RNAcentral lists this ribosomal RNA (392 nucleotides) under uncultured soil bacterium. RNAcentral describes it as "bacterial SSU rRNA". It matches the Rfam family "Bacterial small subunit ribosomal RNA", at positions 975 to 1368 of the family's 1533-position model. The record is from RNAcentral.
CAGCCCUUGACAUGCCCGGCUACUUGCAGAGAUGCAAGGUUCCCUUCGGGGACCGGGACACAGGUGCUGCAUGGCUGUCGUCAGCUCGUGUCGUGAGAUGUUGGGUUAAGUCCCGCAACGAGCGCAACCCUCGCCCUUAGUUGCCAGCAUUCAGUUGGGCACUCUAAGGGGACUGCCGGUGAUAAGCCGAGAGGAAGGUGGGGAUGACGUCAAGUCCUCAUGGCCCUUACGGGCUGGGCUACACACGUGCUACAAUGGUGGUGACAGUGGGCAGCGAGACAGCGAUGUCGAGCUAAUCUCCAAAAGCCAUCUCAGUUCGGAUUGCACUCUGCAACUCGAGUGCAUGAAGUUGGAAUCGCUAGUAAUCGCGGAUCAGCAUGCCGCGGUGAAUA